UUUCCGUAGGUGAACCUGCGGAAGGAUCACUAAAGAGAACUUGCCCUUCGGGGUAGAUCUCCCACCCUUUGUUUAUUAUACUUUGUUGCUUUGGCGGGCCUGCCUCACGGCUGCCGGCGUAAGCUGGCUCGCGCCCGCCAGAGACCCCUAAACUCUGAAUAUUGUCGUCUGAGUAAUAUAUAUAAUAAGUUAAAACUUUCAACAACGGAUCUCUUGGUUCUG
RNAcentral lists this unclassified non-coding RNA (222 nucleotides) under plant metagenome. RNAcentral describes it as "partial contains small subunit ribosomal RNA, internal transcribed spacer 1, and 5.8S ribosomal RNA". The record is from RNAcentral.